Molecule: small nuclear RNA, 330 nt
Filed under: Nannospalax galili (Upper Galilee mountains blind mole rat)
Lineage: Eukaryota; Metazoa; Chordata; Mammalia; Rodentia; Spalacidae
Description: 7SK RNA (ENSNGAG00000003394.1)
Rfam family: 7SK RNA
About the family: 7SK was discovered as an abundant small nuclear RNA in the mid-70s but a possible function has only recently been suggested. Two independent studies have found that 7SK RNA binds the CDK9/cyclin T complex (known as elongation factor P-TEFb).
Source: Rfam by way of RNAcentral
AGGUGUAAGGGCGAUCUGGCUGCUGUAUCUGUUACCCCACUGAUCACCAGCAUUGAUCCAGCUGAUCUGGUUGGUGUGUGUCUCCUUCCUCUGUCACUGCUCCACAUGUGUCCCUCCUGAAGUUCUGUGCUCAGCUCAAGAGGAUACCUUCCCUGGGAGAAGACCAUUCUUUGGUCAAAGGUGUAAGAAGUAGGUGCACUCCCCUGCUAUAACCUCCGAACAAACUCUCCAGAAGGUUAUGACUUAUGUGUCUAAGAAAGGAUCAAGGUUCUUCUCAAAUUUUUUAAAAAUUUAAAUUUAAGCUGGGCGUGGUUGCACAUGCCUGUAGUC